GGACCAAGGAGUCUAGCAUGUGCGCGAGUCAUUGGGAACACCUAAACCUAAAGGCGCAAUGAAAGUGAAGGUUCCGCCUCGAGCGGACCGAGGGAGGAUGGGCGGCGGUUUAUGUACGUCGCCCCGCACUCCCGGGGCGUCUCGCACUCAUCGCGAGGCGAGGCGCACCACGAGCGUACACGCUGGGACCCGAAAGAUGGUGAACUAUGCCUGGUCAGGACGAAGUCAGGGGAAACCCUGAUGGAGGUCCGUAGCGAUUCUGACGUGCAAAUCGAUCGUCGGAACUGGGUAUAGGGGCGAAAGACUAAUCGAACCAUCUAGUAGCUGGUUCCCUCCGAAGUUUCCCUCAGGAUAGCUGGCACUCGAGCGAAUGGAUAGUUGAACGCACGAGUCUCAUCCGGUAAAGCGAAUGAUUAGAGGCAUUGGGGUCGAAAAGGCCUCAACCUAUUCUCAAACUUUAAAUGGGUGAGAUCUCCGGCUUGCUUGAAAUGAAGCCGGAGAUCGGAUCAACGGGUGCCAAGUGGGCCACUUUUGGUAAGCAGAACUGGCGCUGUGGGAUGAACCAAACGUCGAGUUAAAGCGCCAAAAUCGACGCUUAUGGGACACCAUGAAAGGCGUUGGUAACUUAAGACAGCAGGACGGUGGCCAUGGAAGUCGGA
Molecule: ribosomal RNA, 659 nt
Filed under: Cybister owas
Lineage: Eukaryota; Metazoa; Arthropoda; Insecta; Coleoptera; Dytiscidae
Description: eukaryotic LSU rRNA
Rfam family: Eukaryotic large subunit ribosomal RNA
Source: RNAcentral